GACGAAACGCUGGCGGCGUGGAUUAGGCAUGCAAGUCGAACGGUAUCAUCCUUUCGGGGGUGAGAGAGUGGCGAACUGGUGAGUAACACGUAGGUUAUCUACCCUCAAGACGGGGGACAACCCAGGGAAACUUGGGCUAAUACCGGAUGUGAGCAACUUUUAGUUGUUUGAAAGGUGGCGUAAGCUGUCGCUUGGGGAUGAGCCUGCGUCCUAUUAGUUAGUUGGUGAGGUAACGGCUCACCUAGGCAAUGAUAGGUAGGCGGCCUUAACGGGUGGUCGCCCACACUGGGAUUGAGAUACGGCCCAGACUCCUACGGGAGGCAGCAGUCGAGAAUAGUCUACAAUGGUCGGAAGACUGAUAGUGCGACGCCGCGUGAACGAUGAAUCCCUUCGGGGUGUAAAGUUCUUUUAUAUGUGAGCAGUGCUUCUUAUAUUAACAGUAUGGGGAGAGAGAUAUUAGCAUAUGAAUAAGCAACGGCUAACUCCGUGCCAGCAGCCGCGGUAAG
RNAcentral lists this ribosomal RNA (506 nucleotides) under uncultured bacterium. RNAcentral's name for it is "bacterial SSU rRNA". It matches the Rfam family "Bacterial small subunit ribosomal RNA", at positions 32 to 524 of the family's 1533-position model. The record is from RNAcentral.